Molecule: ribosomal RNA, 557 nt
Filed under: Sphingopyxis sp. BvIRR001
Lineage: Bacteria; Pseudomonadati; Pseudomonadota; Alphaproteobacteria; Sphingomonadales; Sphingopyxidaceae
Also listed under: 9 other names
Description: bacterial SSU rRNA
Rfam family: Bacterial small subunit ribosomal RNA
Source: RNAcentral
ACGGGUGCGUAACGCGUGGGAAUCUGCCCUUGGGUACGGAAUAACUCAGAGAAAUUUGUGCUAAUACCGUAUAAUGUCUUCGGACCAAAGAUUUAUCGCCCAAGGAUGAGCCCGCGUAAGAUUAGCUUGUUGGUGAGGUAAAAGCUCACCAAGGCGACGAUCUUUAGCUGGUCUGAGAGGAUGAUCAGCCACACUGGGACUGAGACACGGCCCAGACUCCUACGGGAGGCAGCAGUGGGGAAUAUUGGACAAUGGGCGAAAGCCUGAUCCAGCAAUGCCGCGUGAGUGAUGAAGGCCUUAGGGUUGUAAAGCUCUUUUACCCGGGAUGAUAAUGACAGUACCGGGAGAAUAAGCUCCGGCUAACUCCGUGCCAGCAGCCGCGGUAAUACGGAGGGAGCUAGCGUUGUUCGGAAUUACUGGGCGUAAAGCGCGCGUAGGCGGUUUUUUAAGUCAGAGGUGAAAGCCCAGUGCUCAACACUGGAACUGCCUUUGAAACUGGAAAACUUGAAUCUUGGAGAGGUCAGUGGAAUUCCGAGUGUAGAGGUGAAAUUCGUAGA